RNAcentral lists this long non-coding RNA (263 nucleotides) under Elaeis guineensis (African oil palm). Its description in RNAcentral is "long non-coding RNA (EGUI_LNC019134)". The record is from RNAcentral. Lineage: Eukaryota; Viridiplantae; Streptophyta; Magnoliopsida; Arecales; Arecaceae.
UCAUGCCCCGAACCUAUCAUCUAGGUUGACCAUAUGACAUGGAUGCAUGAACCCUCAAAUAAGUCCUAGAGAUCAUGCAAUAUAUAUUUCGCGACUCUGAAAAAGAGUAAAGAAUUGUGUUGCAUCAUUCAUUAUUGAGCAUAUCGAAGAUUGGACAUUGCGACAGGGCAACAUCUGCCCGUAGGCCCUGCAGGAUCUUUGUCUUAUGAUCUUUUAGACUGUACUCACACUAGAGUGGUAUGAUCAUCUGCAUAUAUCAAAAG